GUCAUGGUUGCAUUGUGGAUAUCACCUGACAACUUCAAUUGUAGCCCCUGCCCUUCUAAGUCUUCCCUAUGCACUUUCCUUGAUGGGUUGGUUUGCUGGGGCUUUAUGCCUCACCAUUUCAGCUCUUGUAACGUUCUACUCCUACAACCUUCUGUCCUUGGUUUUAGAACACCAUGACCAGCUUGGCAUGCGCCAGCUUCGAUUCCGAGACAUGGCCAGAGAUAUUUUGGGUGAGUACUGUUUAUAGCUGCCCUCUUCCCCUUGAGAUUCCUCUUAAAUGUAAAUUGUCCUGUGAUUUGAGGCAAAAUUAUUAAUAUUGCAAGAAAGAAAAAUGAUAUGAGCAUGCAUGGUCUAAUUUUACAGGACCAGGGUGGGGAAGAUACUUUGUUGGUCCAAUUCAAUUUGGCUUGUGCUAUGGUGCAGUUAUAGCUUGCAUUCUUCUGGGAGGGCAGAGCCUUAAGGUGAUAAUCAGUUUAAUAUUUCUGUCGAAAUUUCCCCUACCCCGCAUUUUUUCAAACUUUUGUUUUGUGAUCUUUUACAAGAACACUGAAUUAUGAACUUAAAAUUUAUCAAGUUUAAUUUUAAUUUUAAUUUCUUUGAAGUCUGGAAGUUAUGUCAAGCAGCAGUAGCUUGCCAAACAAUUGAAGUAGUAGUUUGUUUGCAGAUUAUUUGGGAUGUUUACUGAAUUUUAAUUUUCUUUUGCUUUUCCCACAUAUAAUUCUUCUUCUACAAGUAUAUAUAUUUGCUUUCUAGUUCAAGACCAGAAGCCAUGCAACUCUACCAAUUUGUUAUUAUUUUUGGUGUCCUGAUGCUGGUGUUGGCACAAAUUCCAUCCUUCCACUCCUUGAGGCAUAUCAACCUUGUCUCUCUAAUCCUUUGUCUUGCAUAUAGCAUCUGUGCCACAGCUGGUUCCGUAUAUAUCGGUAAGAAAUCACAAAAUAAUUUCUUUACAUUAUUAGGAAUGUAUAACUUGUGAUCAGUUUAAUUAAUUGACUUCCAUGCUCAUAGGAAAUUCGACUAAUGCUCCUAGGAAGGACUACUCUUUAAAUGGAAGUGGACAGAAUCGUGUUUUUGGAUCCUUCAACGCUAUUUCAAUCAUCGCAACCACGUAUGGAAAUGGCAUUAUUCCAGAAAUACAGGUUUUCCAAUUGCUUUAUUACUUGAGGGAAAAACGGAAAGGUCGUACCCAGUGCACAAGGCUCCCGCUUUACGCAGGGUCUGGGAGAGGUGAAUGUCGGCUAACCUUACCCCCAUUUUAUGGAGAGGCUGCUCCCAAGUCUCGAACCCGAGACCUACCGCUCAUGGGCGAAGGCACUUGCCAUCGCACCAAGUGCGACCUCUACUUGAGGGAAAAACGGAAAAGAAAAAAAAAAAGACAACGGAAUCCUAUUAUUUCGAAUUUAUUGUUUGCUUUUGAUCUUAUGCAGUGAUAAAAGAUAGAGGUCAAACAUUGUUCAGCAGAAUCAGUAAAUUCUCACUUAAUGGGGCAAUUUAUAUGUUUGCAGGCAACAAUAGCACCUCCAGUUAAAGGGAAAAUGUUCAAAGGAUUAUGCGUAUGCUAUGCUGUUGUACUUUCGACAUUUUUCAGUGUUGGUAUCUCGGGUUAUUGGGCGUUUGGAAAUCAGGCCAAAGGAACAAUUCUGCUCAAUUUUUUAGUUGAUGGAAAGCCUCUGUUGCCAACUUGGGUUCUAUUGAUGACCAAUGUUUUCACCUUCUUGCAAGUAUCAGCUGUUAGUGUGGUAAGUCUUCCAAUCUGCUUCACAACACCAAGAAUGAAUCGUAAAGACUACAUUCAGUGGAUGAUACAAAACUUGAUCGGUUCUGCAGGUUUACUUACAACCAACAAAUGAAGUACUUGAACGCAAGUUUGCGAAUGCAAAGGUUGAUCAAUUCUCUGUUCGCAAUGUUGUGCCAAGGUUGGUUUAUCGAUCUCUGUCUGUGGUCAUAGCCACAACUGUUGCAGCUAUGUUUCCAUUCUUUGGCGACAUCAACGCUCUGAUUGGAGCAUUUGGAUGCAUUCCUCUGGACUUCAUUUUGCCAAUGGUGUUCUACAAUGUUGUGUUCAAGCCCUCCAAGUACAGCUUACUUUUCUGGGGAAACACAAUCAUUGCCACAACAUUUUCUGCUCUAGGACUGUUGGGUGCAAUAUCUUCAAUCCGACAGAUCGUUCUUGAUUCUAACACGUACAGUUUUUUUGCUAACAUAUAAACUAUAAUGUAGGACUGCUUCAAAAUCCUGUCGCAAGUUUGUAAACGGCAUUUUGAACUGUUUAUCUGCUUCUUUUCUUUUUUUUCUCAUGUGCAUUACUUAUUAUAUAUCGUUGAUCAGAUGUUUCUCUAUGAACAUUAUGAAUCAAAGUUUAAUUAGGUUUGAAGAAGGGGGUACUUGAAAAUUAAUCAACUGACUGCGAUCACAGAAGCUAAUCUGCAACCUAAGUAGUCAAACUAAUUAAGCUAGCUAGCUGAAACAAAGUCUUCCAUGGCAAUUUUUAUUACUUGCAAGUUGGUUGAUUAGUUCAUGAUACAUUCCUUAUCCUCAGAGCCAGAGGACACGUUGCGGCAAAGUUAAUGACCUAGAGUAAAAAUGAGAUACUCUUAACAGGCUGUUCGAUAACUAUUGUUUUUCAAUUUUUAUUUUUUAACUGACAACGAAAUAGUCAUGAGCGAACCAGACAGAUUGCCACUUUAUAUGGGAUAAGAUACAUGAUGGUUCAGUUGUCACAAGGUAUGCUCCCUCUUCACACCAACUUACAGAUGUAUUCACAAAAGCAUUGGAAGGAAACUUUCUCAAGGAUUAUACACAAGUUGGGAGUUCUCAACAUCCACUCUUCAACUUGAGGGGGAGUUUUGAGAAGUCAAUGAUAUCAUUCCUGAUAUCUUGGCUUAGUUUGGGAAAAAAAUCAACGAUACCAUUCCGGAUAUCUUGGCUUAAUUUGGUAAACGAAUUUGUAAUUUGUUUGUAAUUGAUUUGUAAACCUCGAAUGUAGGCUAGAUUACUUCUUUGUCAAGAGUUCCUCUUUGUAUAACUUUUUUUGUAUCAAUAGAAGAAAGUUACUUCAGCAAAAGAUAUUCCCUUCGUUAUUUUACACACACACAUAUAUAUAUAUAUGCUUGUUAGAUAUACAAGUGAAAAGGUAGUAUUUCAAAUUUUCAGGGACUACGAAGGCUAAACUACGAUAUGCUACAAAAACUGAGGAGAUUGAUGCUUGCAAAAAAAUCAGAGUUGUCAUGGGAAUCAUCAGAUGAUGAAUCUGACUUGUCUGCAUACAUUGACAUAGACAUAUCAGAUGGCAUUGAACACCUGAUGGGCUCCAACUAUUUCAAGGAAGAAGUUGGAGAUAAUCUACAUGCAGAUUAUCCUGGAAGGUCUCUGCAGUCGCAAUCCAAUAUAAUUUGACCUAAAAAUCUGUUUAGAUCAAUCACGGCUCAAUAGUCCUAAUGCAUUUGUAACUGUAUAUAUAAAUAAUCAUCCAUCAUCAACAUAUGUAGUCUUUUCUUUAACAAGAUAUCUAAAGUGGAUACAAGAAUUAUGUGAUAAAAAAAUCAGACAAUGGCUAAGAAAGAGUGUGUAUAUAUUGAACUCGCCAUUCAUGAAAUUCAAUUAGACGUGGUUGUUAAAUGGAGUCAUCACGUCCUCGAAAGUUCAAAACAAAAAAAUACAUGGGAAAAAAUGCAUUUGGAUGAUAGGAAAAUGAUUGUUUAAAUCUACCAAUGAUUAUUGUGGGAUGCUAGUCAAAUCCAUUGCCUUCUUUGUCAAAUCUGAGACUAGAGUGAAGCCGCCUUUGUUGAACUGUAGUCAUCAAAUAGCUAAACAAAUAUCUAAGUGUUCAGUUUUUCAACUGUAAUAUAUUUUCUUUGCUAAAAGACGACAGUGACUUAUAAACAAGCAAAGUGUUUGUCUUGCUUUAUCCAAAGUGUUUAUCUUGCUUACCAUUUAUUUUUCCAAAUCGGGGAAAAUAUUUGGUUGUCAAUUAUAUUAAGAUCGUGUUGCAGCGAUAUUGUUUAUCCAAACGCAGACCAAAAUAACCUGAUAGCUAGAGAGCUAUGGAGUCAAUUCUUCCCAUUUCAAAUACUGAUUUAUCAGCAGAAAAUAAGGAAGAUGAAGAAGCCAACAUUUCAAAGGAGCUUGAUGCUGGAGCUUUAUUUGUGCUCAAAUCUAGAGGUAUUGAUUCUCUCUUUGUGUCAUACGAAGGAAUUAAGAUAUCUAGUGAUCACACAGAAAUAUGAUUCUCUCUCUCUCUCUCUCUCUCUCUCUCUCUCUCUCUCUCUCUCUCUCUAUGGAAGUGAAUUGGAAUGAAUGAAAUGGUUCGACUGCAAACACGUUUAUAAUUUUAUAGACAACGAGAGGGUACCUGACAUGCCCCAAUCCCAAAGUCCAAGAGACAUCGGGAUGGCCACGUGCUGGCCGACACUCAAGGGUGACGAAAGCCAUUUAAUAAAUGCAUAUGCCGAGAACAUGUGAAGCAUGCAUAUAAAUUUUGCGAGUUACUACGCAAAGUAAUAUGCAAAUAUAAGUCCUACAAAAUACCAUAAUAAUAUUCAACUGCCAACAAUGAAUAUAAUGAUAAUGCAUGACAUGUUCAGGGCAUACAACUAAUCCAGAGUACAAGCGUAAGGUAAAAUAGCAGUGUUCUAAAAAACGCCCUAGGCGGUGCCCAGGCGCUGGGCGGUGGAGUGCCAUCGGGAUUAAUGCCAAAUCGUUCAUAAAAUUGGGUACGGGUUAGUCGGCCGCCUAGGCGGUAUCUAGGCGGCUGUCUAGGCGGCCUCGUCGGAGCCUCGGCGGUUCUCCGUUCUGCUGCGAUCUAGCGAGAAGAAAGAGGGCGACUGAAAAUCUCGUCGGAGCCGCAUCGAUGUUGCUUGAUAGUUGGGUUUUUUGGAAUUCUUUCGGGUUUUUGGGUUGAAGGUUAAGGGUUUGAAGUAGCUUUUGGAGAUGGUGGGAGAGGUCUGAUGAUGGGAGAUAUGAGAGAAGAAGAAGCAGCGCUAAAAGACAGAGAGGAGGCGAUGGAAACAAAGCUGACUGCAAGAAGAGAGAGAGAGAGAGAGAGUUGUUUACCAAAAAGUAGAGAGAGAGGUGACUACAAUAAUAGAGAAAACCAAAAAGUAGAGAGUUGACUACAAUAAUAGAGUAACAAAGCUGAUGCGGUAGAAGACAUGAGUAGAAAAAGAAAAUAAAGUGUGGGGUGGGUUGGGUUAGGCUGGGCAGGGCCAGCCCAUUUAUAUAUGCUUACAAUCUUAUUAAAUUUUAAAUGAUGGAUUGAAUACAAAUUUAUUCAAUUGUGGGAUGAAUGUAUUUUGUGUAUUCUUCUACUUCUAUUUUUACAUUUUAUUAUUUUUCUAUCAUCCAUACAAGUAAAGUUUUUUUUAAGUGUAAAUAAGCACGUAUUUACAAGAUAUAUAAUAAAUUUAUAUAAAUCCGCCUAGGCGCUAGGCCCCUGCCCGCCGCCCGACUAGCGCCUAGUGUUUUUUAGAACCUUGUAAAAUAGAGAGGUGCUAUUACAAUAUAUGCGAAGCAGAGAGGAUGAUAAGAUAUCAUUAGUAGGGGAAUGCCUCGUGGCUCGGAUCGUAUGCCUAGUUCCUUUGUCUUGAGGGGGUGCAAAACAAACAUAAGUAGAUCAAAUUGAUAUAUAUAUAUAUAUAUAUAAUACUGAAACAAUUAUUCAAUAACGUACUAACCCCCAAAGUUUUAUGAAAACUCAAUAGCAUAAUAUGUAAUAGGUUUUCCGAAAAACCCUAGCAUGCCAUAAAACUUUUCAUAAAACAUAUAUAGUAUAGUGUGCUAAAUAGUGGUAUCAUAAUCGACCCGAAGGCCCCUACAUCACCCGACCCGUAGGCCAAAUAUAUAUAUCUUCAUUCGACCCGUAGGCCCCUACACCACCUGACCUGCAUGCCAAUAUAAUAUCUCCUUACCCGUAAGCCCCUACAUUACCCAACAGAAGCCAAUAUAAGUAUCGUUGCCCGUAGGUAGAACAGUGACCACUAGAUACGCACAAAACAUUGAAUAUAAUCUUUCCAAGCAUAGGUACGUAUAUCUCAAAACACACAUAGCCAUCCAUCAUAUAUACUACAAAGAAGUGUAAAAACAUAUUCAUAAAUAGUAUAUAGCCAUCCAUCAUAUAUGCUACAAACAACAUAAUUUCAUAAAGUAUGGUAUUCCAAAAUAUUCUCAGUAAAGCAUGAUAAUCAUAAGGUGUAAAUCUAAUUUACUCAUGAAACGUUUCAUAAAACGUAACCAUUUAAUCAUGUUUUUCAUGUAUGCAUUUCUACUAUUAAACCAUGUAGUUUAGAAAAGGUCCACUCACAAAUACUCUGUCGUCGAAGAGCCGUACAAAAUAGGUUGGACGAAAACACCGCUAAUAAUUGCACCUAAGCACAUAAAGGAUCCAAUUAAUAAAAUUAUACUCAAACGAUUGAAUUUCUUAAAACAGUCAUCAUAAACAGAUUCAAGACGUCGAAAAACAUAAAGGGGGACCUCGGGUACCCCCACGCACCACCCCACACGCCCUCACGCGCCGACGUGCGUCGCCGACGCCACUGUGGAUGAUGGCGUGUGUACUCCACGUGCCGACAUCGGCAGGCACUCAUGCGCAGACUCACGUGCGGCUGGGCUUAGGGUUUGGAUUGGGUUUGGGCCUAGGCUUAGGUUUGGGUUCCUUGGGCCGAAGGCCUGGGGUCUGAAGGGUUUUGGGUUCAACGGGCCUAGGCUUGAUAGGCCGACCCAAAGGUUUAGUGGGUUGGGUUCCAACGAGUUGGAGGCUCGGUUUGGCGCGGCCUGAAGGGCCAAGUUUCAAGGGCCUUGGGCUUGUAAGCCCAACCCUAAAGGAUUUGGGUUUGGGUUGCUCAGUGGGCCGAACCCUUUAGGUCUUGGGCUAAAGGGUGUGGGUCAACCAACCCGUUUCUCGUCGGGAACAAAGGUCGGAGCCUCCUGAGCUCCGGUCGACGUCAACAUGUAAACCUAGGCUACGAUCGACCUAUGAAAACGAAGGUAGAUGUGAGAGGAAGAGGUUUGUACCUAAGAUUCGUCGUGAAAUGGCCGGAGGUGAGAGGGAGAGGUUUGUAUUUGUUGUUAAAUUGAAGAGUUUAAUUGAGGGUGAUGAUGAUGAUGACGACGACGACGGUGAUGAUAUGUAUGUAGGGUCAUGGUUGCAUUGUGGAUAUCACCUGACAACUACAAUUGUAGCUCCUGCACUUUUAAGUCUUCCCUAUGCACUUUCCUUGAUGGGUUGGUUUGCUGGGGCUUUAUGCCUCACCAUUUCAGCUCUUGUAACGUUCUACUCCUACAACCUUCUGUCCUUGGUUUUAGAGCACCAUGAACAGCUUGGCAUGCGCCAGCUCCGAUUCCGUGACAUGGCCAAAGAUAUUUUAG
RNAcentral lists this long non-coding RNA (7362 nucleotides) under Malus domestica (apple). Its description in RNAcentral is "long non-coding RNA (MDOM_LNC006571)". Lineage: Eukaryota; Viridiplantae; Streptophyta; Magnoliopsida; Rosales; Rosaceae. The record is from RNAcentral.